GCCGAUGUGGCGGAAUGGCAGACGCGACAGACUCAAAAUCUGUUAUCUGUAUGGAUGUAUGGGUUCAAGUCCCAUCAUCGGCA
Molecule: transfer RNA, 83 nt
Filed under: Lachnospiraceae bacterium oral taxon 096
Lineage: Bacteria; Bacillati; Bacillota; Clostridia; Lachnospirales; Lachnospiraceae
Also listed under: 2 other names
Description: tRNA-Leu
Rfam family: tRNA
About the family: Transfer RNA (tRNA) molecules are approximately 80 nucleotides in length.
Source: RNAcentral